UUACCUACGGGGGGCAGCGGUGAGGAAUAUUGGUCAAUGGGCGGUAGCCUGAACCAGCCAAGUAGCGUGAAGGAUGAAGGUUCUAUGGAUUGUAAACUUCUUUUAUAAAGGAAUAAAGUGAGGCACGUGUGCCUUUUUGUAUGUACUUUAUGAAUAAGGAUCGGCUAACUCCGUGCCAGCAGCCGCGGUAAUACGGAGGAUCCGAGCGUUAUCCGGAUUUAUUGGGUUUAAAGGGGGCGUAGAUGGGUUGUUAAGUUAGUUGUGAAAGUUUGCGGCCAACCCGUAAAAUGCAAAUUGAUAUUGGG
RNAcentral lists this ribosomal RNA (305 nucleotides) under uncultured bacterium. Its description in RNAcentral is "bacterial SSU rRNA". It matches the Rfam family "Bacterial small subunit ribosomal RNA", at positions 335 to 637 of the family's 1533-position model. The record is from RNAcentral.